CCAGUUUGAGGAGCGGCCAAGCAACGUCAUAGUCUUUCAGGAUACCUCGACCUCUGACACCAUGACUCCUGCCAGUGGCACUAGGUGCGUCUGUCUAACCAGCCAAGUCCAGAAACCAAGCUCGCCAAUCAUCUCUCAAGUCAACAAACCCCCACCACCUUGCACACUGAAAAGAGAUGUAACUGAGAGUUCAGCCAAGAAGACAUCUCGCAACAAAGUGAAGCUGGCAGCUAACUUCUCCUUUGCAACCGUAACUCGACUUUAAGCACCAUUACACACGUACACAUAAUGAAGCCAGAAGUAUCCACUCCAACAGAAUAUGUUGAAUAAGUCUCUGUAAUCUGCAUUUUAGUUGCCAUAUACAUUUUUUUCUUGUUGAUACGUUAGAAAUGUCUUAUGAUUUGCCAACUGUGUGCUGCUAUAUAUACUUUUUUUUGUAUGUGGAAGCUUUUUUAAUGUCAUUACCCUUAUUUCAUGAAAGAUUACACCUAUUUUAAUUGAUCAAAAGUCUAGGCCCGGUGUAAUGUUUCAUUUAGCAGUGGCUCUGCCUUUGCAGAUUUUGUUUUAAAAUGACAUGCGUGUUAUGAGACCUUCAUGCAAAGCCAUGGUGAAAAGUGGAAAGACGCCGUUUAGUUAUAGAAAAACUUACAAUUUUAAGUUUGCAUUUUCUUUUUCUCCUACUCUUUAAAUGUAAAAAGCAGAAGAAACUGAUUUAUACUUGUGAUUUAGUGUAAAUAAGCAAACAAGAUUACAGCUUUAAACUGAGUAAGUUGUAACUGCAUACCAGAAUCUCAUGAAAUGUACUCUGUAACACUGCAAAAUCUCAAAUUCACCACACAUACACAGGUGUCCUCAGAUCUGAUUUAUCUGUUACAGUAGAAUGAAAAACUAACUGUAAACAUGGCCAAAAUGCUCUUCUGGGGGGAGGGGGCACUAGUGUGUUUGGGGUCUUGUAGCUGGCAGGUACCUUUCCAGGUAACCAGCACCUUUCACCACAGCAUGGAUUUUGGGCCUUUGCAUUGGGCCAUGCAUUUUCAAAAGAGCUUGUAUUUGUUAAAGGCACUUAAUUAUUGGUGCUAAUUUAGCAUAACAAUUUUGAUUUAGUUUUUGUCUAAUUUAAUUUGACUUUCUAGCUUUGGUGCAUACCUGUUCACUGACCGAACUUGACAUGCCAUUAUGUACGGUGUUUGCUUCAAACCAAUUGAUAAAAUCUAGACUUUGAUAUUGUUUUGUUUAACACAAAAUUCUGCUCCAGUUGAAGUUAGUGUAUUUUGUAUUCAUUCUGCAAUUGACUGCAUUAGGACAGUGUUAUAUUUUGUUUGUUGCAAUGAGCUUGACUUUAAAGACCCAGGAGUGUGCUAGUCUGAUGAGAGUCUGUGUACUUGUCUGUGGCACUCUUAAGACCAGGGACUAUCUUUGUUGUGCUGUUUUUAUGUUCUUUGUAAGUUUAAAAUUUUGCCUUUUGAUGGUGAUUUUUUUAGGAAAGAGAAAGAUUGCGUGAAAAGGACAUGCCUAAGCCUCUACCAAAGCAGCUGAAAUGGAUACUGGUGUGUAACAGUGCGCACACUAACGUAGGGGCUGAGCAUUUGAUUUACGUUGGGGUAAUUUAUUAUGAAGUUGUGGACUGCUGUUUACAAGGCAAGAUAUGGUGUGAAAUAUGCAUCUAAUGCAUAAAUCACAGCCGGUUUUGAAGAAAUAAAUCGUAGGGGGAAUGAUGAGGCAUGGUGUGGGGUAGAUAAACUGUAGUUUAAUUGUUUUGUAAGCCAUUUCCAACCAGGAUGACACCUUCUGGGUAUCUGUGGAAAUGUCAAGGUUGUUUUCUUUAACCUUGUUGGUUUAUUUGUUUCUUUUUAAUUAAAUAAUUGAAGAAAAAAGAACUAUGUGUUUGUGUAUGUUGAGUUCAAGGGGAGUGGCUAGCUGCCUCCUUUUUUAUUUUUUGUAUCAUAAUAAAAGUAUGUUUUUAUUCUAAUGGUCAUUUAGUCUAGUGUUGUGCAAUUUUGUAAGCCUUGUCAGUUGUCUUGAGUGAGAAAGGUCCUGGAAACAUCAGUGUUCCAACUGUUUUGGUCUCUCACCUAGGAUCAGGUUGUUUUGUUGACAGGAGGCCCAUAGAGGUUUUCUGACUAGAGCCUGGCUUUUACAAUGGCUUGUAUUCGCCAUGGUUGUUUUUACAUGUCACUUUUGGUUUUGUUCCACUUUUUUUUAAAUGAGAACAAAACUUUUCUUAGUUUGUGGAGUCUGCUGAGGGAUCAGUGAAGAUAUGCAAGCUAGCACUGCAGGUACAAAUGCGCAAGGCAAAAUGGAACGGGAGGAGGGGAAGGGUUUGUUGAGAGUUUUAUAGGGGACUGAAUUUCAAAUAAAAUAGGCGUUCCUGUUUCUGAGCUCUUAAGUUUUCUAGUUUGAAAACUGAAAUGGGGCAGAAAUUCACAGGACUGCCACAACAAUCUGAUAGUCCUGGUCCACAUUGUGGUAACCAAGUUACCCAGAUAUGUGUCUACUUUAUUCUGACAGUACCUCUUCCAACAUUUGGUGUGUUUUCUCUUCCCCCUCCAACUGGACUUCAGAGGCCUUCAUAAACUGAAUGAAUCCUUUAUUUGCAGAAAUGCAUAGAAAGUAUCUGCGCUCUUUAAGGCACCAAAGUUCCUUCUUUCUGCAGAGAAUAACAGUUUUGGGAAUGGAAUUGCAAUUCAUUUUAUUUCAGUAGUUGUCCAGCCUUGUAGAAUAUGAUUAUGGAUUCAGAGGGGGAUACGUUUUUAACUAUGUCUGGAACUAGACUAUAGAGAGAAACAGGGAGAAUUUUGUCAAUUCUGUAAAUAUGAAAUCAGUGCAAAAUACCAUUUUAGUCCAAGUGAUUCUUUUUGUACCUCUCACUCAGCAGUCAAUUAAGUAUGAGAACCUUAAGUUGAUUCUAAAAAGGUAAAUGUUUUAAAGAUAACUGAAGUUAUUAUUUUUUUUAAUGUCAGCAUUUUUUUUGUGACAAGAAAUCUUUACAGAAUGAAAUGUCUUUUUAAUGCUGCAGAGAUGGUAUGGCUAUGCACGUGAUGCCUACUGCUUUUACAAGUUUGCUAGCAGUGGGUGCUCCCUCAAGAAAACUAUUGUUCCCCUCCCCCCACUAACAUUGCAGUUACAGCUUACUCAGUAUUAGGAUGGGAUGACGCUUGCAAUAUAAAUUAAAUUGGUAAUUACAUGUAUUACUUGGUUUCCUUUCAAUGUAAGAGUGCUGAUUGUACCUUUUUAUAUGCAUGUUUGCAUAAUUUUGGUUUGUUCAUUUAAAAUCUGCAUACUGGUUUCUUUAGGAAAAAAAGGCCUUUGUAAUGUUGGUUUAGGAAAAAAACAGGCCCUCAGUUAUUUAGUGAUGCCAUUUUCAUGAGCUUUUUUUUUUUUUUUUUUUUGUAUUGGAGUGAUUUGAAUAUGAAAUGCAGUCCAUGUUCCACACAUUAUAUAAAGUGUAUGUUGGCAAUAUUGUUUCCCUUAUUCCCUUGUCUGGUGCUGCACUUGUUAAUGGACCACCGUUGUUUUCAUCUGUUGCCCCUUCCAAAUUCCUGGCUCCUUGGGGGGAGUUUUGUGUUUUUUUUGUUUUGUUUUUUGCGUAGAUGACAAGUUACAAUAGCAGUUUCUUUUUGUUUUGAAGGGACCAAUUUCUGUUAAUAAAUCUCACCGCAAGCAUA
Molecule: long non-coding RNA, 3665 nt
Organism: Polyodon spathula (Mississippi paddlefish)
Lineage: Eukaryota; Metazoa; Chordata; Actinopteri; Acipenseriformes; Polyodontidae
Exons: 2
Source: RefSeq, a predicted model, not a curated record